Molecule: ribosomal RNA, 407 nt
Filed under: uncultured bacterium
Lineage: Bacteria
Description: partial 16S ribosomal RNA
Rfam family: Bacterial small subunit ribosomal RNA
Source: RNAcentral
AUUGAACGCUGGCGGCAGGCCUAACACAUGCAAGUCGAGCGGAGCGGCGGACGGGCGAGUAAUGCCUAGGAGUCUGCCUGGUAGUGGGGGAUAACGUCCGGAAACGGGCGCUAAUACCGCCUACUCUCAGAUGAGUCUAGGUCGGAUUGGCUAGUUGGUGGGGUAAGGGCCUACCAAGGCGACGAUCCGUAACUGGUCUGAGAGGAUGAUCAGUCACACUGGAACUGAGACACGGUCCAGACUCCUACGGGAGGCAGCAGUGGGGAAUAUUGGACAAUGGGCGAAAGCCUGAUGCAGCCAUGCCGCGUGUGUGAAGAAGGUCUUCGGGUUGUAAAGCACUUUAAGUUGGGAGGCGUUACCAACAGAAGAAGCACCGGCUAACUUCGUGCCAGCCGCCGCGGUAAUUC